Molecule: ribosomal RNA, 1164 nt
Filed under: Pseudomonas aeruginosa
Lineage: Bacteria; Pseudomonadati; Pseudomonadota; Gammaproteobacteria; Pseudomonadales; Pseudomonadaceae
Description: bacterial LSU rRNA
Rfam family: Bacterial large subunit ribosomal RNA
Source: RNAcentral
CUCUGGCUGGUCGAAGAUACCAGGCCGCUGCGACUGUUUAUUAAAAACACAGCACUCUGCAAACACGAAAGUGGACGUAUAGGGUGUGACGCCUGCCCGGUGCCGGAAGGUUAAUUGAUGGGGUUAGCGCAAGCGAAGCUCUUGAUCGAAGCCCCGGUAAACGGCGGCCGUAACUAUAACGGUCCUAAGGUAGCGAAAUUCCUUGUCGGGUAAGUUCCGACCUGCACGAAUGGCGUAACGAUGGCGGCGCUGUCUCCACCCGAGACUCAGUGAAAUUGAAAUCGCUGUGAAGAUGCAGUGUAUCCGCGGCUAGACGGAAAGACCCCGUGAACCUUUACUGUAGCUUUGCACUGGACUUUGAGCCUGCUUGUGUAGGAUAGGUGGGAGGCUUUGAAGCGUGGACGCCAGUUCGCGUGGAGCCAUCCUUGAAAUACCACCCUGGCAUGCUUGAGGUUCUAACUCUGGUCCGUGAUCCGGAUCGAGGACAGUGUAUGGUGGGCAGUUUGACUGGGGCGGUCUCCUCCUAAAGAGUAACGGAGGAGUACGAAGGUGCGCUCAGACCGGUCGGAAAUCGGUCGCAGAGUAUAAAGGCAAAAGCGCGCUUGACUGCGAGACAGACACGUCGAGCAGGUACGAAAGUAGGUCUUAGUGAUCCGGUGGUUCUGUAUGGAAGGGCCAUCGCUCAACGGAUAAAAGGUACUCCGGGGAUAACAGGCUGAUACCGCCCAAGAGUUCAUAUCGACGGCGGUGUUUGGCACCUCGAUGUCGGCUCAUCACAUCCUGGGGCUGAAGCCGGUCCCAAGGGUAUGGCUGUUCGCCAUUUAAAGUGGUACGCGAGCUGGGUUUAGAACGUCGUGAGACAGUUCGGUCCCUAUCUGCCGUGGACGUUUGAGAUUUGAGAGGGGCUGCUCCUAGUACGAGAGGACCGGAGUGGACGAACCUCUGGUGUUCCGGUUGUCACGCCAGUGGCAUUGCCGGGUAGCUAUGUUCGGAAAAGAUAACCGCUGAAAGCAUCUAAGCGGGAAACUUGCCUCAAGAUGAGAUCUCACUGGGAACUUGAUUCCCCUGAAGGGCCGUCGAAGACUACGACGUUGAUAGGCUGGGUGUGUAAGCGUUGUGAGGCGUUGAGCUAACCAGUACUAAUUGCCCGUGAGGCUUGACCAU